UCGCGAAAACUUUGCAAUACACGAAAGUGUGACAGGGCUAUCCCGAGUGCCAUCCGCUGAGGAAGGCUUUUACCCAGUCUAGAAAGCUGGGAGAAUAAGGAGAGGGCAAGUCUGGUGUCAGCCGCCGCGGUAAUACCAGCUCUCCGAGUGGUGUGGAUGUUUAUUGGGCCUAAAGCAUCCGUAGCUGGCCAAGUUAGUCCCCUGUUAAAUCCACCGAAUUAAUCGUUGGUGUGCGGGGGAUACUGCUCGGCUAGGGGACGAGAGAGGCCGACGGUAUUUCCGGGGUAGGGUGAAAUCCUAUAAUCCCGGGAAGACCACCAGUGGCGAAGGCUGUCGGCUAGAACGCGCCCGACGGUGAGGGAUGAAAGCUGGGGUAGCGAACCGGAUUAGAUACCCGGGUAGUCCCAGCUGUAAACGAUGCAGGCUAGGUGUUUGGGCGGCCACUUGCCGCUCUAGUGCCGCAGGGAAGCUGUUAAGCCUGCCGCCUGGGGAGUACGGUCGCAAGGCUGAAACUUAAAGGAAUUGGCGGGGG
RNAcentral lists this ribosomal RNA (532 nucleotides) under uncultured archaeon. RNAcentral's name for it is "bacterial SSU rRNA". It matches the Rfam family "Archaeal small subunit ribosomal RNA", at positions 339 to 874 of the family's 1478-position model. The record is from RNAcentral.